GGUCAAAAGCCAUACCACUCUGAACGCUCCCGAUCUUGUCUAGUCUCAGAAACUAAACAGAGUCGGGCCUGGUUAGUACUUGGAUGGGAGAAAGGGAUUUGGUUUUAUGAGCC
RNAcentral lists this ribosomal RNA (113 nucleotides) under Jaculus jaculus (lesser Egyptian jerboa). The record is from RNAcentral. Lineage: Eukaryota; Metazoa; Chordata; Mammalia; Rodentia; Dipodidae.